RNAcentral lists this transfer RNA (67 nucleotides) under Yuukianura szeptyckii. RNAcentral describes it as "tRNA-Arg". Lineage: Eukaryota; Metazoa; Arthropoda; Collembola; Poduromorpha; Neanuridae. The record is from RNAcentral.
AUAUAAGAACUGAUGUAUCAUAAUUAAUUUCGACUUAAUUUUAGCUAUUAUUUUAUAGCCUUAUUUA